UGGGGAAUAUUGCACAAUGGGCGCAAGCCUGAUGCAGCCAUGCCGCGUGUAUGAAGAAGGCCUUCGGGUUGUAAAGUACUUUCAGCGGGGAGGAAGGUGUUGAGGUUAAUAACCUCAGCAAUUGACGUUACCCGCAGAAGAAGCACCGGCUAACUCCGUUCCAGCAGCCGCGGUAAUACGGAGGGUGCAAGCGUUAAUCGGAAUUACUGGGCGUAAAGCGCACGCAGGCGGUCUGUCAAGUCGGAUGUGAAAUCCCCGGGCUCAACCUGGGAACUGCAUUCGAAACUGGCAGGCUAGAGUCUUGUAGAGGGGGGUAGAAUUCCAGGUGUAGCGGUGAAAUGCGUAGAGAUCUGGAGGAAUACCGGUGGCGAAGGCGGCCCCCUGGACAAAGACUGACGCUCAGGUGCGAAAGCGUGGGGAGCAAACA
This 427-nucleotide ribosomal RNA is filed under the name uncultured bacterium. RNAcentral's name for it is "partial 16S ribosomal RNA". It matches the Rfam family "Bacterial small subunit ribosomal RNA", at positions 355 to 774 of the family's 1533-position model. The record is from RNAcentral.